Molecule: long non-coding RNA, 720 nt
Filed under: Cottoperca gobio
Lineage: Eukaryota; Metazoa; Chordata; Actinopteri; Perciformes; Bovichtidae
Description: lncRNA (ENSCGOG00000006579.1)
Source: RNAcentral
UCCGUACAGAAACAAGAAGUCUACAAAUGACAGGUUGUACUAAAAUUAUACAUUUCUGCAAAACCACGGAUACGUUGAAUGUCACUGCAAAAAUAAAACAGUGACCCAGUUACGCAGCGUCACGUGACACGGGUCCCAUGAUAUCGUCGGUAAAAAUAACUAAACUUUUGGGAUCACACGGGACACGACCAGAGGUCUCCUGAGUGAAGGUCCUGUGCUUGUUUGACAAGAUCUUGCCCCAAACCCAGACUCUAAUGUUGCAUACAGUUCAGCCACUUCCUGAGAACACAAAGCUCACAGAUGAGACAUGUUUUUCUCUUCCCUCCCUGCAGACGUGUCCUCACGAUCAGCCCACAUUCGCUGCUCGACAGGUGGAAGCAGGUGGGAGAGGCGUGGGUGUCGUUCACUCGAGGGGUGAGAUUCGCCGUCCUCCCUCUGUUCCGAUUUCUGCUCCUGCGUUGGUACCGAUCUUCUUAAGACACACACCCCUCCAAAGGGCCGGACCAACUGCUUAUCUUACAGCAAGGAAGUGAGGAAGGAACCAUCAACACUGACACAAAGGGUGGGACGCUCACGAUAACACUGAGCUUUAUGACAUGGAAACAAAGCAGCUGGUGAGAGAAGGAGCUGCUCAGGAUGGUGCAAGGGUCAAGCAACGAAUGAGCUCUAUUUUCUUAUAAGGCUUCAAGACUAUAUUGAAUACUUGAACACCAAACAAAC